Molecule: unclassified non-coding RNA, 1308 nt
Filed under: Hevea brasiliensis (rubber tree)
Lineage: Eukaryota; Viridiplantae; Streptophyta; Magnoliopsida; Malpighiales; Euphorbiaceae
Source: RNAcentral
CAUCCCGAAUGUCUAGUGCAGGUAAAAUCAUAGUUGGAGUUUCAAUUUAUUUCAAAUUGUAGGCGAAGAUGUGAAACAAAUUAUAUCCUAACCUUUCUAUUUCACAAUUUACUUGUAGUGCUCCAAUAUUGGCUUUCAUUUUCAGACAAGUCUUUUGUUGUUUGAUAGUCUGCUAUACCUUGUUAAGUAAUUGUGGAUAGCUGUUCUAAAACCACUAUAUGUGAUACAUAGAAUGGCUUGCAUCAAGCUAUAUGCUCUAAUUAGGAACUUGGAAUUUUUCAUAAAUGAGGUAGUAUAUAGAACCAGUCUUCCAUGCUACACGAUAUAUGGCUUCAUUUGUUUCAGAGAAGAGAUGCCUUUCAGAAAUACUCUGUAGAAUGCAUUUUAUGAGUGAAUUAUAUUCUGUUGUUUGAUUGUAACAUUGAAAAUGGGAGACUAAUUUAUGGUGUUCAGACUUCAGAGUACAGUUGAAAAAUUGAUUUCCUUUCAAGGAGAGUAGGAGACCAUGAGAAAAAUCUGGAUCUAUGAGGUCUAUUUUUUUCUACUUGUUUCUGAUAAACUUGAAUGAAUUAGAAAAUUGCAGAAAAAAGGGUUAAAUUGACUGACAGCCAGUAACAGUAGUUAGUGAUGGGCUGGUGUUGUAGUAGUGGCUAUAUGACAAUUGUCUCUUACAGGUUCCCUUUCCUUUUCACAAGUUGUAUCAGCCCACAGAUAACAUCCUGCUUGCAACAUGUUAAACUCAUUUUCCUAGAAGUGGGCUUAGUUAUUUCUUUGAUUAGGAAAACUGUUAGAAUAGGAAUGUAACUAUUGUGUUUGACUUAUUAGUGCUGUAAUAGGAGAUUAAAUCCCUAAAAUUAGGGAAUUCCUUGAUUAGGGUAAUUAUGUGUAUUUCCUAUUUAGGUUCAUUGAAAUUGUAUAUAUAACCCCACAGGCUUGAGGGAAAUAAUCAAGCUAUUUUUCUCUAAAUCUUUGUUUCUAAAUUUCUACAAAAUCGGUUUGUCAUGGCUGUUACAGAUGACAAGUCUUUCACUGUGAUUCCAAAAUCCACAUCACUGGGUGUAUCAGAAAAUAGGCAAAAAUCUGUUACAUAUUGAUCGAGAGGAUACUUGAUGGACAUUAGUUAAAAUUCUGGUAUCACCAGAGACAGACUUUUACCUGUGAAGGAAUGUUACAUAGUGGCUCUUUUGUCUCAAAGCAGAAAGGGAGAACAGUGGACUGAGUAGUAGUGUGCUUGUUAUUUGUCUCUUUCUUCAUUUUUUUUUCCAAAAAAAAAAUAGAAACUCAAUUUUGAAAAUCCAACUGAUAUUU